This 473-nucleotide ribosomal RNA is filed under the name uncultured Glomus. RNAcentral describes it as "SSU rRNA". It matches the Rfam family "Eukaryotic small subunit ribosomal RNA", at positions 569 to 1046 of the family's 1831-position model. The record is from RNAcentral. Lineage: Eukaryota; Fungi; Glomeromycota; Glomeromycetes; Glomerales; Glomeraceae.
AGCAGCCGCGGUAAUUCCAGCUCCAAUAGCGUAUAUUAAAGUUGUUGCAGUUAAAAAGCUCGUAGUUGAAUUUCGGGAUCAGUAUGUUGGUCGUGCUUCGGUACGUACUGUCAUUACUGGUUUCUACCUUCUGAAGAACCUUGAUGUCAUUAAUUUGGUGUCUUGGGGAAUCAGGACUGUUACUUUAGAAAAAAUUAGAGUGUUUAAAGCAAGCAUACGCUUGAAUACAUUAGCAUGGAAUAAUGAAAUAGGACGUUUGAUUCUAUUUUGUUGGUUUCUAGGAUCGACGUAAUGAUUAAUAGGGAUAGUUGGGGGCAUUAGUAUUCAAUUGUCAGAGGUGAAAUUCUUGGAUUUAUUGAAGACUAACUACUGCGAAAGCAUUUGCCAAGGAUGUUUUCAUUAAUCAAGAACGAAAGUUAGGGGAUCGAAGACGAUCAGAUACCGUCGUAGUCUUAACCAUAAACUAUGCCGAC